UACGUAGGGGGCAAGCGUUAUCCGGAUUUACUGGGUGUAAAGGGAGCGUAGAGGGCUUUGCAAGCCAGAUGUGAAAGCCCGGGGCUCAACCCCGGGACUGCAUUUGGAACUGUGUGGCUAGAGUGUCGGAGAGGCAGGCGGAAUUCCUAGUGUAGCGGUGAAAUGCGUAGAUAUUAGGAGGAACACCAGUGGCGAAGGCGGCCUGCUGGACGAUGACUGACGUUGAGGCUCGAAAGCGUGGGGAGCAAAUAGG
This 253-nucleotide ribosomal RNA is filed under the name uncultured bacterium. RNAcentral's name for it is "partial 16S ribosomal RNA". It matches the Rfam family "Bacterial small subunit ribosomal RNA", at positions 524 to 776 of the family's 1533-position model. The record is from RNAcentral.